GCAUUGAUGAUGACUUUAAAAAUAGAUCUCAUUGGAAUCUGAACAAAAUGAGUGACAAAAUCAGUAUGUGAACUGAGGUCC
This is a small nucleolar RNA of Bison bison bison, 81 nucleotides long. Its record names the gene SNORD116. It matches the Rfam family "Small nucleolar RNA SNORD116". From Rfam's summary of the family: HBII-85 is a member of the C/D class of snoRNAs, which contain the C (UGAUGA) and D (CUGA) box motifs. HBII-85 is encoded in a tandemly repeated array with another C/D snoRNA, HBII-52, in the Prader-Willi syndrome (PWS) region of chromosome 15. The record is from Ensembl. Lineage: Eukaryota; Metazoa; Chordata; Mammalia; Artiodactyla; Bovidae.